GCCGGUGUGGCGGAAUGGCAGACGCAAGGGACUUAAAAUCCCUUGGCCAAUCACUGGCCGUGUGGGUUCGAGUCCCACCACCGGCA
Molecule: transfer RNA, 86 nt
Filed under: Verrucomicrobiota bacterium
Lineage: Bacteria; Pseudomonadati; Verrucomicrobiota
Also listed under: 3 other names
Description: Verrucomicrobia bacterium (anaerobic digester metagenome) tRNA-Leu
Rfam family: tRNA
About the family: Transfer RNA (tRNA) molecules are approximately 80 nucleotides in length.
Source: RNAcentral